GAGGGUGUAGCUCAGUGGUAGAGCACAGGCAUAGCACGCACAAGGUCCUGGGUGCAAUCCCCAGUACCACCA
This 72-nucleotide transfer RNA is filed under the name Camelus bactrianus (Bactrian camel). It matches the Rfam family "tRNA". Rfam says of the family: Transfer RNA (tRNA) molecules are approximately 80 nucleotides in length. Lineage: Eukaryota; Metazoa; Chordata; Mammalia; Artiodactyla; Camelidae. RNAcentral also lists the same sequence under 1 other name. The record is from Rfam by way of RNAcentral.